Molecule: ribosomal RNA, 501 nt
Filed under: uncultured bacterium
Lineage: Bacteria
Description: bacterial SSU rRNA
Rfam family: Bacterial small subunit ribosomal RNA
Source: RNAcentral
GACUAACGCUGGCGGCGUGCCUAACACAUGCAAGUCGAACGAUUCUUUGAUUUAUAGCAAUAUUUAUUGAAGAGGAGUGGCGAACGGGUGAGUAACACGUAGAUAAUCUGCCUUUCAGACGGGGACAACUCAGGGAAACUUGUGCUAAUACCCGAUGAGACCACAAGAAGGGAUUUUUUGUAGGCCAAAAGGCGGGCAGCAAAUGCUCGUGCUGAAAGAUGAGUCUGCGUCCUAUCAGCUAGUUGUGGGGUAAAUGCCUACCAAGGCUAAGACGGGUAGCCGGCCUGAGAGGGUGAACGGCCACACUGGGACUGAGACACGGCCCAGACUCCUACGGGAGGCAGCAGUGAGGAAUUUUCCGCAAUGGGCGCAAGCCUGACGGAGCGACGCCGCGUGAGGGAUGACAGCUUUCGGGUGUAAACCCUUUUAUUAAGAAAAGAUUAUAUGCUAAUAUCAUGUAGAUUUUGAUGGUACUUAUUGAAUAAGCCCCGGCUAACUACG